RNAcentral lists this ribosomal RNA (301 nucleotides) under uncultured bacterium. RNAcentral describes it as "partial 16S ribosomal RNA". It matches the Rfam family "Bacterial small subunit ribosomal RNA", at positions 509 to 807 of the family's 1533-position model. The record is from RNAcentral.
CAGUAGCCACGGUAAUACGAAGGGGGCUAGCGUUGUUCGGAUUUACUGGGCGUAAAGCGCACGUAGGCGGAUCGAUCAGUCAGGGGUGAAAUCCCAGAGCUCAACUCUGGAACUGCCUUUGAUACCGUCGAUCUGGAGUAUGGAAGAGGUGAGUGGAAUUCCGAGUGUAGAGGUGAAAUUCGUAGAUAUUCGGAGGAACACCAGUGGCGAAGGCGGCUCACUGGUCCAUUACUGACGCUGAGGUGCGAAAGCGUGGGGAGCAAACAGGAUUAGAUACCCCCGUAGUCCCUGUCUCUUAUAC